Molecule: transfer RNA, 75 nt
Filed under: Microgenomates group bacterium RBG_16_45_19
Lineage: Bacteria
Description: tRNA-Arg
Rfam family: tRNA
About the family: Transfer RNA (tRNA) molecules are approximately 80 nucleotides in length. Their secondary structure includes four short double-helical elements and three loops (D, anti-codon, and T loops).
Source: RNAcentral
GCACCCAUAGUUCAACGGAUAGAAUAUCGGUCUUCGGAACCGAGGAUGGGGGUUCGAUUCCCUCUGGGUGCACCC